This 497-nucleotide ribosomal RNA is filed under the name uncultured bacterium. RNAcentral's name for it is "partial 16S ribosomal RNA". It matches the Rfam family "Bacterial small subunit ribosomal RNA", at positions 28 to 507 of the family's 1533-position model. The record is from RNAcentral.
GACGAACGCUGGCGGCGUGCCUAAUACAUGCAAGUUGAGCGCUGAAGGUUGGUCCUUGUACCAACUGGAUGAGCAGCGAACGGGUGAGUAACGCGUGGGGAAUCUGCCUUUGAGCGGGGGACAACAUUUGGAAACGAAUGCUAAUACCGCAUAAAAACUUUAAACACAAGUUUUAAGUUUGAAAGAUGCAAUUGCAUCACUCAAAGAUGAUCCCGCGUUGUAUUAGCUAGUUGGUGAGGUAAAGGCUCACUAAGGCGAUGAUACAUAGCCGACCUGAGAGGGUGAUAGGCCACAUUGGGACUGAGACACGGCCCAAACUACUACGGGAGGCAGCAGUAGGGAAUCUUCGGCAAUGGACGAAAGUCUGACCGAGCAACGCCGCGUGAGUGAAGAAGGUUUUCGGAUCGUAAAACUCUGUUGGUAGAGAAGAACGUUGGUGAGAGUGGAAAGCUCAUCAAGUGACGGUAACUACCCAGAAAGGGACGGCUAACUACGUG